This 448-nucleotide ribosomal RNA is filed under the name uncultured organism. RNAcentral's name for it is "partial 16S ribosomal RNA". It matches the Rfam family "Bacterial small subunit ribosomal RNA", at positions 332 to 797 of the family's 1533-position model. The record is from RNAcentral.
UACACUCCUGCGGGAGGCAGCAGUGGGGAAUAUUGGACAAUGGGCGCAAGCCUGAUCCAGCCAUGCCGCGUGAGUGAUGAAGGCCCUAGGGUUGUAAAGCUCUUUCACCGGUGAAGAUAAUGACGGUAACCGGAGAAGAAGCCCCGGCUAACUUCGUGCCAGCAGCCGCGGUAAUACGAAGGGGGCUAGCGUUGUUCGGAUUUACUGGGCGUAAAGCGCACGUAGGCGGACUAUUAAGUCAGGGGUGAAAUCCCGGGGCUCAACCCCGGAACUGCCUUUGAUACUGGUAGUCUUGAGUUCGAGAGAGGUGAGUGGAAUUCCGAGUGUAGGGGUGAAAUUCGUAGAUAUUCGGAGGAACACCAGUGGCGAAGGCGGCUCACUGGCUCGAUACUGACGCUGAGGUGCGAAAGCGUGGGGAGCAAACAGGAUUAGAUACCCCUGUAGUCCC